AAAAGAUCCAUAAAGUUUGGCCAAAUUCUGUUGAACAAAAGAAGUGACAAGUAUAUUUUGUUCCAGAAUUUGGAUUGCGUGUUUGCAGGUGACCCAGGAGUAAUAGGAGAACAGGAGGCCUGAACACUGCUGUUUCCCUGCAUCUCCAGCCAGCAGCUGCAGUUGGGUUCUUCCGUGCUCGUGGACUUCCUCCUCCAAGGCAUUUCCAGCAGCAGUUACCUAGAGGAAUGCACAAGAGCUGUCUGAGCAUGGAGCCAGCUAACAGAAGAAAUCCAGAGGAGAGGGAAAAGUGUUGUGUUUUUGAAGAACAGUUGAACAGGCCAGACAUCUUCAGCCUGUGAGGUGGCUGAGGAGAGACAUAGCAGAAGUCUAUAAAAUCAUGAGUGGAAAAAAUGAAUUGGUUGCUGCUCUUUCACCUGUUCCAGAAAAAGCACUUUCAGAAGAAACCAAAGGUGAAAACGUCGUGUCACCUGGGCAAAGGAACUAAAGUGAAAGAGCGAUCUCAGGUAUUUUGCUGUUGGUUUUUUUUUUUUGGUUUUUUUUUUUUUUCCCUUUCUGUUAGGCCAGAGCUUGCAUGAUUGUAAAGUUCCUUGUGUGCCUUGCAGCUCCAGGAGUUCACGUUCAAGAGCUGAAACAGAGCCAGCACCUGAUUAAGGCAGAUUCGGUCAGGUAAGACAAUAGACCCUGUGUUUUAAAGGGUAUGCCACAUUUCGCAGUUCCUCCUGCUUCCUUUUCCACUCCACAUGCACCAUGUACACACACUAGGCAAGUCAGCUUGAGUACCUUGUCUACAUGGAACUGAGGAAAAGGGACGAUUCAGAUCUUUCAAAUCCUG
This 835-nucleotide long non-coding RNA is filed under the name Numida meleagris (helmeted guineafowl). RNAcentral's name for it is "lncRNA (ENSNMEG00000022711.1)". The record is from RNAcentral. Lineage: Eukaryota; Metazoa; Chordata; Aves; Galliformes; Numididae.